This is a long non-coding RNA of Pectinophora gossypiella (pink bollworm), 942 nucleotides long. RefSeq lists it as uncharacterized. The record is from RefSeq and is a predicted model, not a curated record. Lineage: Eukaryota; Metazoa; Arthropoda; Insecta; Lepidoptera; Gelechiidae. The transcript has 3 exons.
AAGCAGCGGCUGAAGCAACAGAUGCUCCUGGUCCUUGUGGUCCGUAUGGUCCCUGAAGUCCAUUGUUUGGUCCUUGUGGUCCAUUGCUUGGCCCUUGUGGUCCAUUGUUUGGUCCAUUUUGUCCAAGUGGGCCGUUAGGUCCUAGUGGUCCAUUUGGUCCUAGUGGUCCAUUUGGUCCGAGAGGACCGUUUGGUCCGAGUGGACCAUUUUGUUCGUAUGGUCCAUUGUUUUGUCCGUUAUUUGGUCCACUUGUUGACCUUGCUGAAGCAGCGGCUGAAGCAGCAGAUGCUCCUGGUCCUUGUGGUCCGUAUGGUCCCUGAAGUCCAUUGUUUGGUCCUUGUGGUCCAUAGCUUAGUCCUUGUGGUCCAUUGCUUUGUCCAUUUGGUCCAUUUUGUCCAACUGGGCCGUUAGGUCCUAGUGGUCCAUUUGGUCCUAGUGGUCCAUUUGGUCCGAGAGGACCGUUUGGUCCGAGUGGACCAUUUUGUUCGUAUGGUCCAUUGUUUUGUCCGUUAUUUGAUCCACUUAUUGAACUUGCUGAAGCAGCGGCUGAAGCAGCAGAUGCUCCUGGUCCUUGUGGUCCGUAUGGUCCCUGAAGUCCAUUGUUUGGUCCUUGUGGUCCAUAGCUUGGUCCUUGUGGUCCAUUGCUUUGUCCAUUUGGUCCAUUUUGUCCAAGUGGGCCGUUAGGUCCUAGUGGUCCAUUUGGUCCUAGUGGUCCAUUUGGUCCGAGAGGACCGUUUGGUCCGAGUGGACCAUUUUGUUCGUAUGGUCCAUUGUUUUGUCCGUUAUUUGGUCCACUUGUUGAACUUGCUGAAGCAGCGGCUGAAGCAACAGAUGCUCCUGGUCCUUGUGGUCCGUAUGGUCCCUGAAGUCCAUUGUUUGGUCCUUGUGGUCCAUUGCUUGGCCCUUGUGGUCCAUUGUUUGGUCCAUUUUGUCCAAGUGGGC